UAACCUGCCCAAGAGAUCGGGAUAACACCUGGAAACAGAUGCUAAUACCGGAUAACAACAGAUGAUGCCUAUCAACUGUUUAAAAGAUGGUUCUGCUAUCACUCUUGGAUGGACCUGCGGUGCAUUAGCUAGUUGGUAGGGUAACGGCCUACCAAGGCGAUGAUGCAUAGCCGAGUUGAGAGACUGAUCGGCCGCAUUGGGACUGAGACACGGCCCAAACUCCUACGGGAGGCAGCAGCG
Molecule: ribosomal RNA, 240 nt
Filed under: uncultured Lactobacillus sp.
Lineage: Bacteria; Bacillati; Bacillota; Bacilli; Lactobacillales; Lactobacillaceae
Description: partial 16S ribosomal RNA
Rfam family: Bacterial small subunit ribosomal RNA
Source: RNAcentral